Molecule: ribosomal RNA, 461 nt
Filed under: Xenorhabdus ehlersii
Lineage: Bacteria; Pseudomonadati; Pseudomonadota; Gammaproteobacteria; Enterobacterales; Morganellaceae
Description: bacterial SSU rRNA
Rfam family: Bacterial small subunit ribosomal RNA
Source: RNAcentral
UGUUGGGUUAAGUCCCGCAACGAGCGCAACCCUUAUCCUUUGUUGCCAGCACGUUAUGGUGGGAACUCAAGGGAGACUGCCGGUGAUAAACCGGAGGAAGGUGGGGAUGACGUCAAGUCAUCAUGGCCCUUACGAGUAGGGCUACACACGUGCUACAAUGGCGGAUACAAAGAGAAGCGACCUCGCGAGAGCAAGCGGACCUCAUAAAGUCGUCGUAGUCCGGAUUGGGUCUGCAACUCGACUCCAUGAAGUCGGAAUCGCUAGUAAUUCGCAGAUCAGAAUGCUGCGGUGAAUACGUUCCCGGGCCUUGUACACCACCGCCCGUCACACCAUGGGAUGGGGUUGCAAAAGAAGUCGGUAGCUUAACCUGUAGGAGGGCGCUGACCACUUUGUGAUUCAUGACUGGGGUGAAGUCGUAACAAGGUAACCGUAGGGGAACCUGCGGUUGGAUCACCUCCUUA